Molecule: non-coding RNA, 25 nt
Filed under: Mus musculus (house mouse)
Lineage: Eukaryota; Metazoa; Chordata; Mammalia; Rodentia; Muridae
Source: RNAcentral
UGCAAAGAUGCUGUGAGGCUAGGAG